RNAcentral lists this ribosomal RNA (281 nucleotides) under uncultured bacterium. Its description in RNAcentral is "partial 16S ribosomal RNA". It matches the Rfam family "Bacterial small subunit ribosomal RNA", at positions 506 to 784 of the family's 1533-position model. The record is from RNAcentral.
UGCCAGCAGCCGCGGUAACACGGGGGGCGCAAGCGUUAUUCGGAAUUAUUGGGCGUAAAGGGCGCGCAGGCGGUCUUGUCAGUCAGAUGUGAAAGCCCUGGGCUCAACCUGGGAACUGCAUCUGAUACUGCUUGGCUAGAGUAUGGUAGAGGGGUGUGUGGAAUUCCUAGUGUAGGGGUGAAAUUCGUAGAGAUCUGAAGGAACAUCAGUGGCGAAGGCGACCUCCUGGACUGAUAUUGACGCUGAGGUGCGAAAGCGUGGGGAGCAAACAGGAUUAGAUA